Molecule: ribosomal RNA, 255 nt
Filed under: uncultured bacterium
Lineage: Bacteria
Description: partial 16S ribosomal RNA
Rfam family: Bacterial small subunit ribosomal RNA
Source: RNAcentral
UACAGAGGGUGCGAGCGUUGUUCGGAAUUACUGGGCGUAAAGCGCGCGCAGGCGGCCCUUUAAGUCUACCCGUGAAAUGCCGGAGCUCAACUCCGCGCACGCCGGGGGAUACUGGGGGGCUGGAGACAUGUAGAGGCAAGCGGAAUUCCGGGUGUAGCGGUGGAAUGCGUAGAGAUCCGGAAGAACACCUGAGGCGAAGGCGGCUUGCUGGGCAUGAUCUGACGCUGAGGCGCGAAAGCGUGGGGAGCAAACAGG